GUAUCUCUGAAGAGUGCCAUACUAGGACGAAACAGCUGUCCAGUAC
RNAcentral lists this non-coding RNA (46 nucleotides) under Trichobilharzia regenti. Lineage: Eukaryota; Metazoa; Platyhelminthes; Trematoda; Strigeidida; Schistosomatidae. The record is from RNAcentral.